AGGCCUGUAACUCAACGGUUAGAGUGUUUGUUUUAUAAGCGAAAAAUGGUGGUUCGAUCCCACCCAGGCUCA
This 72-nucleotide transfer RNA is filed under the name Phalansterium sp. PJK-2012. RNAcentral's name for it is "tRNA-Ile". It matches the Rfam family "tRNA". Rfam says of the family: Transfer RNA (tRNA) molecules are approximately 80 nucleotides in length. Their secondary structure includes four short double-helical elements and three loops (D, anti-codon, and T loops). The record is from RNAcentral. Lineage: Eukaryota; Evosea; Variosea.